CGGGGCGUAGCGCAGCCUGGUAGCGCACCACCUUGGGGUGGUGGUGGUCGGAGGUUCAAAUCCUCUCGCCCCGACCA
RNAcentral lists this transfer RNA (77 nucleotides) under Sulfuricaulis limicola. RNAcentral's name for it is "tRNA-Pro". It matches the Rfam family "tRNA". From Rfam's summary of the family: Transfer RNA (tRNA) molecules are approximately 80 nucleotides in length. Their secondary structure includes four short double-helical elements and three loops (D, anti-codon, and T loops). RNAcentral also lists the same sequence under 27 other names. The record is from RNAcentral. Lineage: Bacteria; Pseudomonadati; Pseudomonadota; Gammaproteobacteria; Acidiferrobacterales; Acidiferrobacteraceae.